GACGAACGCUGGCGGCGGGCUUAACACAUGCAAGUCGAACGGAAAGGCCCUGCUUUUGUGUGGUGCUCGAGUGGCGAACGGGUGAGUAACACGUGAGUAACCUUGCCUUUACUGUGUGAUAACUUCAGGAAACUGCGGAUACUACCUGCUAGGAGCUCCUGCUGCAUGGUGGGGUUUGGAAAGUAUCGGCGGUUGUGGAUGGACUGCCGGCUUAUCAGCUUGUUGGUUGGGUAGUGGCUUACCCAGGGUUUGAUGGGUAGCCGGCAUGAGAGGGUGACCGGCCACCUGGGGACUGAGAGACGGAGCAGACGGCAACGGGAGGCAGCAGUGGGGAAUAUUGCACAGUGGUCGGAAGCCUGAUGCAGCAACGCCGCGUGCGGGAUGACGGCUUUCGGGUGGUAAACCGCUUUAGGCUGUGACGAAGCGUGAGUGACGGUAAUGGGUAAAGAAGCACCGGCUAACUACGUG
This 468-nucleotide ribosomal RNA is filed under the name uncultured bacterium. RNAcentral's name for it is "partial 16S ribosomal RNA". It matches the Rfam family "Bacterial small subunit ribosomal RNA", at positions 28 to 507 of the family's 1533-position model. The record is from RNAcentral.